AUACGUAGGGUGCAAGCGUUAAUCGGAAUUACUGGGCGUAAAGCGUGCGCAGGCGGUUUUGUAAGACAGGGGUGAAAUCCCCGGGCUCAACCUGGGGACUGCCAUUGUGACUGCAAGGCGGGAGUGCGGCAGAGGGGGAUGGAAUUUCGCGUGUAGCAGUGAAACGCGUAGAUAUGCGGAGGAACACCGAUGGCGAAGGCAAUCCCCUGGGCCCGCACUGACGCUCAUGCACGAAAGCGUGGGGAGCAAACAGGAUUAGAUACCCUGGUAGUCCACGCCCUAAACGAUGUCAACUGGUUGUUGGGGAUUUAUUUUCUCAGUAACGAAGCUAACGCGUGAAGUUGACCGCCUGGGGAGUACGGCCGCAAGGUUAAAACUCAAAGGAAUGGACGGGG
This 395-nucleotide ribosomal RNA is filed under the name uncultured bacterium. RNAcentral's name for it is "partial 16S ribosomal RNA". It matches the Rfam family "Bacterial small subunit ribosomal RNA", at positions 523 to 918 of the family's 1533-position model. The record is from RNAcentral.